UUCAAUUAUUUGAGUAAUGCUUUGGGAUUAUUUGCUUUUUAAUAAAAUCUGCUUUUCCUUAUUUUGAUGUUUAGUAUAAUUUUAUUGAAAGUUGGACCAUAAGAAAGGCUGAGCGCCAAAGAACUGAGGCCUUUGAACUAUGGUACUGGAGAAGACUCCCGUGAGUCCCUUGGACUACAAGGCAAACAAACAAGUCAGUCCUAGAGGAGAUCAACCCUGACUGGUCUUUAGAAGCCCAGAUCCUGAAGAUGAAACUCAAAUACUUUGGCCACCUAAUAAGAAGGAAUGACUCACUGGAGAAGUGCCUAAUACUGGGAAAGAUUGAGGGCAAAAGAAGAACGGGAUGACAGAGAAUGAAAUGGCUGGAUGGAGUCACUGAAGCAGUAGGCGUGAGCUUAAAUUGACUCCAGAGAUUGGUAGAGGACAGGAAGGCCUGGAGGAACAUUGUCCAUGGGGUUGCAAUGGGUUGGACACAACUUUGCAAAUAACAACAACAUAAUUUUAUUGCUUCAAGUUAUGGCAGCUACCCUAGAUACUUUAUGAAAACUACAAUUUUCUUUUUUUUUUGCCAAUUUUUUAAAAAAUUUUUUACAAGCAUAAUAAAAAAGAAUCAUUGUGAACAAAUUAUUGGUCAGGUACAUAUUUCAAGUUUCACCUAAGUUAUAAUCUAAUACAAUGUAUUUUCCUUCUUCUUCUUCAAGUUCAAUUAUUUAUUUGCACACAAUCUGAUUAUAGAAGUAAAUCAAAUUCAACCCAUUCAGGAAAAUAUUUAAAUGAAGUCUAGUCCCCGUGCUUAAUUCCCUUCAACGUCAUUAAUAAAUUCUAUUAACGUUUUAAAUUUUCACCACUCUCAGCAUUACAUCUACAUUACUAAUCAGAGAUCAUCCUCUCUAAAAUCUCUUUUUUAAAACUGCCCAGAGAUCACAUAGACAAUUUCAUUCUUUCCUUUGUCUUCCUCUGCCUCUAAAUCAAUAAUAUAUAUUUAAAGUUUUCCAUCUAAUCCAUUUUAAUAUCAAACAGAAAAUUUAACAUUUGCAAGGGUAAUCUCUAAUUAUUUCCCUCAAUUAUCCCCGCAAAAUAUUAACUGUUUCCUUGGAAGUUUUAUCAAAUCCUUUCAUUACCUUACUUAUUUGUAAGAACAAAAAAAAGAGAAUUUUUUCUUCAAUAUAAUAACACGCAUUUCCCUCUUAUCCCAAUUUAUUCUAGUAUUUUACCUCCAUUUCCCAAAACUUCAAUUAUUUUUAUCAUAGUUGUCACUCAUAAUAUAGAUAUUAACAUUUUCUAAAAUAAAUUUUCUUAACCUAACUCUAAAGGCAGCCAUUAGUUCCUUUCAAAAAAAUGUUGUGUGACUACAUCAGCAGCACAUUCUCCGUGGGAACAGUCCACUAUUCCACUCUUACUUUCUUUCUUUGCCUCUGAAUUCUUCUUAAGUAAGGAAUUUUCCGCUUAAAUCAAUCAUCCAAAGACACACCAUCUAGAAAUCUCUUCUAAAACUGUUGUGUGGUCCUAACGACAUCAAUCCUCAUGGGAAUAGCUAUUCGACUCUGCUAUUUUCCUCUGUCUCUAAUUAUAAAGGCAGCCAUAAGUUCCUUUCAAAAAAAUGUUGUGUGCCCACACCCACAGAACUUUCUCCAUGGGGAAUAGUCUGCUAUUCCAUUCUUGCAUACUUUCUUUGCCUUUGGAUUCUUGUUUAAAUAGGGAAUUCAAUUUCUAUAGUUCAAAGACACGCCAUCUGAAACUCUCUUUUAAAGCUGUUGUGUAGUCCCAGCAACAACAAUCCUCUAGCUAUCUUCCUCUGCCUAUCGAUGUCUCCUUUUGAAACAGUUACAGCUCACAAGUAAUAAGUAGCCAUUUUGGUGACAAAGUUCCUUUGUUCUCAAAUGCUUUGGUAUAUGGAGAUCAAUUUUCCAGGAUUUCUGCUUUAUUGUAUUUAAUUAUCUUCCAGGUUCUUAUGUCCUAUUGAUAUCUUUAAUAUUCCAUAAAUUUAAAACAGAGGGAUUUGAGAUAUUCACAUAAAAAACAGUUCAAUAGCUUCUUUUACCUUUUUCUCCUAUUUCUUUAAUUUCCAAUAUAAUCUGUUAAGACUUCCAGGAACCUCCAAACCAUUGUUUAGUUGGAAAAAAUUUAUUUUCCUUUUAUUUAAAUGGGGCUCUGCUUCCAUUCCAAGCCCUAUCUUCUCUCUUUCGCUUCCCGAAUGUGUAUUCUCCAAAUUGACUUUCACUUUCACUUGUUAUUCAAUUAGCCGCCAAUCUACAAGUUCUCCCCAAGGCUUGUGCCUAUUUUAAAUUCUUAUUUUUUCUUCGUGAGAUCAUCACUCACCCGACUUCAACAAUUUGUUUCUUGAUGCUUCUUCCUCCUACCCGCUCUUGUGGCCGCCCGUGGCUUUGGUGCAGCUGCCAUGAUGGACUAUGGCGCUGCAUUCCACCCCGCUGGAUCGGGGGAAAAGAUCCGGAGCUAUGGGGAGUUUGCCAUCUCCCCGUUCGCUCCGGCGGCUCCCCCACUCUUCGCUGCCCCUUCAAGGCAGCUAUGGUCCGAUCCAAAGUUCGGACGGAUCCCCUGGAUGAGGGGAUAUUGGUGCAAACCCCAGAGACAUCGGGGUUUGUGACCGUCUCGCCCACGACGCUGGCCAUGUCCUCUGAAAACUACAUUUUUCAAUAACUCAAUCUAAUCAUUUUACUUUGAAAAAAUAUGGAUUUAUAGUUUGCAUUAUUAGUUAGGGAACUUACUCAAAAACUUUUCAAACUGCCCUAGAGAGGAAGACACCACAUACAUACCCCUAAAAAAACAAAUAAACAAACAAACAAACCAUGCCAACCUAUUUAAUCUUUAUUUAAAUUACAUUUGCUGAAAGAGAGUUAAAUACAAUGCGAGUGCACUACAUAAAAAAGUACAUUGACCAUGAAAAUCCACAUUAAAUAUACUAAGAUCUCUCUUGGCAUAGAGUUGCCUAACAUGGGACCAGGCCAAAUAUAUCUCAUCACAAUAGGAGUAAGGCAACUAAGUUCAGCAGUACACCACAGGACAUAUGGUGUAUAGGGUAGCAGGGCUUCAUGCUGUGGUGGCUGGCGGAAGCAUAGGACCUGAGGCAGCACCCCUCAGCAACAGCAACACUGAUGAUGAAGUACAGGCCAAGGGGCAAUGGCAACCAGCAGAGACUGGUGAAGGGCCUGGACUUCUACAUCAGCCCCAGUUCCACUGCUGAGGAGUAUCAUCAUGCAGGGGAGCCAGAAGGGCAGGGAUAAAGGAAAAUGGGCAAGGGGGAGUUGAAGCACCCUUAAGUCAUAAGUGUGGGGAGGCUGCCAAGUAUCCAAAUCAUGAGACCAUGAGGGUGUUGUAACAGCCGUAACUUCAGGAAAUAGGCACAAGUUCUAUUUGUUCCAUUUGCCAUAACUUCAAACAGUUGCCAAACAAAUGGUCCUAAUUCAAGGAUUACCUUAAAUUUGAAGAUUAUUCUUUGAGAAAUAUGCUCAAGCAAACAUGUCCAAUUUCAUAACAGUUAAAUGAUUUAAAUAAAUACCAUAUAAAUAAUAGCUAAAUAUUAUAUAGAAAGAAUAAAUAAUAUUGUACAGAAAUUAUUAGGAAGUAUUUGUGGCUUGUUUCUGGAGGUGAUGAAAAGAUGUAAAGAUAUCACUUGAAAAUUUCUUUUACAACAACCAGCAUGAAAAGAAGUACAAGCCUUAAAUAGAAGAAAACUUUUAAUUAGAAAAUCAAUAGGUUGAUUUUGCCUCGUUUAGAACCUUUAACAUCCACAGAACUUCAUGUUAAAGACAUUAAAGUUCCAGUUGUAUGCCUUGGGCAUUUCUAAGUUACAUCACAUUUCUUUAGCAUUUGUGGGGACAUGUAACACUAACCAACAUGUUGAGAGGAAUCCAGCUACCUCUCCUUUAAAUAAUUAUAGUACCUACAAAUUAGAGAAAACCAUUGGUGUAUCCUAGCAAUAGAAAUAUCAGAUCUGGUUUUGUUGCUUUUGUAAUAACAUGAUGCAAGAUACAAACAAAAACUAGUUUCUUAGUAAUCAGGGAAAAACCUGACACACCUCCUAAUUGUCUGCAUAACCCACGUAGACUUUGUCUUUGUAAGAUGUAAGAAUCAGCAUUACCUCUGGGACAUCUUCCCCAAGCUAUACAAAUCAUCACUAUUAAAAGUGGCAUGAUUACUUGGCAGCAGGCACAUCUUACUGCCACAGAGAUGAGAAUCUGUAGUUACCCUUUGGCUCCAAUAAACUAUGAGCAAUAGAUAUGCCCAACCUUAAGGGAGGAUUGAAAACACCAUAAUAAUUACUCUUCAGCACCUCUAAGAGGUCAAGCUGACAAGUCAUUGUUCCUAGGAUUAUUUGUUCACCUUACUUUACUUUAACAGAAGCACAAGAAAGUAUCAAGUGGUAAACUACUAAAAAAAGUCCUUGCCUCAAAAAAAAUAAUCAUACUGUUUUGGAAAAGAAACAUAUAAAUGCUUCAUUUAAUCUGGUAACAUUAGCAUUCUGAAGAUAUUUCACUUUCAACAAAUAUUCUCCUAUUCUCAUAGAAUCUGGAAACUCUGGUUGAGAUACAGAAUGUGUUAGGAAUAGGAGAGGAUAAAAAAGUCAACACUGAGAAUGCAAGAAAAAACACCUACAAAAUCAUCUUAGGAUCUUCCUUCUGAUCAGCACCCAAGAAAUGUAGACAAAACAUAUGGCACAAGCUAGGAAAGGGAUUAGGUUAGGUUGGCCGAAAGCAAACAAAACAAAAAUACUUUAAAUAAGAAGGACCUUUAACACAAGGGACCUUUUUUCAGUUUAGAUUGUUUCUUCUCUCCGCUUCUUCCAAACUUCCACUAUAUUGAUUGAAUAGAAUAGAAUUCUUUAUUGGCCAAGUGUGAUUGGACACACAAGGAAUUUGUCUUGGUGCAUACGCUCUCGAUGUACAUAAAAGAAAAGAUACACUGAAGGGGCACACAGUCCAUAGGAGCUAAAGGUGGCAAAAAGAAUGGAAGGGAUGAAACAAUCCCCUUCUAGUAUCUUCCUUAAGUUCAUAGCCUGCAGAAGCUAAAUCACAAUUCAAGUUGUUUACCUAAAUAUAUUUAUGUGUGGUAGUUACAUUGUCUUUCUACUAGACACUAAGAGUGGCACUCAAGUUUCUUUGCUCUUUCCUCCAGCAAAAUUUGCUAGAACUCUGUGACAUAGGUUGGGCUGGGAAUAUAUUCUUACAGAUAAAACAAUUGUUUUAAACUAUGUUUGUUGAACAAGCCAUAAUAAUCUGGUCUAUCAAUAAAGCUAAUCCAAAAGGUAAACAAACAGCAUUAUAGUUCCAUAUUCUGGGUUAGAUGGUAAUUGGUCCAAAUCACCCAGUAAUCUUCAUGACUGAAUGGGAAUUUAAACUAAACUCUUCACUCCUAAUCCAACCUUCCAAUUGCUACAUUGUAGUAGCUUUUCCAAAUUAAAUGCUAUAAAAAUGGAAUUAAAUACUGCAGACAUCUACUAAGCACGAACAAGCUGAUUACAAUUUAUAGGCAAAGAUGAAAGCUAUUACGUGUGAAAUAUUUGGGAUAGCGCUUUCAGUCAGAGCAGGCAUUAAGUUAGAUGGAUCUCAAAAUAAUACAUUCCUAUAUUUCUAAUUGAAAUGAAUUUUCGCACCUGAACUCUAUCAAUUCACAGAGAUGAAUUUGAGUGAAAAAGAUUUAAUCCCAUGUAAAAAAAACUCUAAAAUGAAUCACACUCAAAUUGUGAUUACAGCUUGGAAAUACAUUGCUAGUAAAAAGGGAAAAUGCAUGGUGUUCUGUUUUAAUGGCAAAUUGAAAAGGCACAAGUAAGGAAGGAGUUAAAAACCAAUUCUGCACUUCCCUAAUUGAUAGAUACAUUCCCUCAUUUUAAGUAAAUAAAGGCAACAAAAUUUCAGCUCACUGCUUGAAAUCAAGACAUUUACAUGAGUUAAAAGCUAGCAAAGGUUAUGUUCGAUACUCAAGAGCUACAGCUUUAUUUUUGUGCCUUUAAGACUAAAAAAACUACAUAGCAGAGCUAUCUCUUACCUGAGGCAUAAUCUACAAGAGCACACAAUUAUUACCAAACAAUGUUAUGUUGAAGUAUGGAAAGCUUGCAGAGAAAAUGCCUUUUCUUUGACGCAAAUAAAAAUAGUUCUCAAGAUAUACUGCUUUACUUACUUACUAGCAGAGGUGCUUUAUUUUAACCCUAUUACUCAUAUUUGUAUAGUGUACCUCUAUUAAAAUAAAUUAACCAUAACUUAAGUUUCUAUGCCCCAGGCUACUCCAAGAUGAGAACAUCCCUAUCAUGGAAGCUAGAGUGCUACACCCUGCAGGGCUAGCAAAACAUUUGUUGAUAUAUGAGGCAUGUUUAAAAGCAAGUCUAUCAAUCCAAAAACCUAAAUCAGAUGUUUCUUACAAUUAGAUAAAUGGUAGGUUUGAAACAAUUUACAUAUGCAUAUGUCUAAACAAAGCAUCUACAUCAAAACCUCAUACACAGAAUACAUAAUAUCAAAACUCAUCUUCUAACAUUCAUACAACGAACAUGCAUAUAUAAAAGACUGGGAGCUAUUAAUUAAUAGAAUCUGAGCAGGUAAUAAAGUAAGAAUUUAGCAUUUCCCUCCUUUAUUACAGUCUGGAGUUUGGUUUGGUGUUUUUAAAAUCUGUCUUAUAAGCACCCACCCACCACGCAGUUAUGAAUCACUGAUAUAGUUAAUGAAGGCAAGCAUCACCAGUAAACAUAUAGAGCAUACACUACACAAGAAUUGCUGCCUUUUAAUUAUAACGCAGACAUGACAUAUUUGAAACCUGUACUUGAAAGAGAUAAAAGUUGUGCUACCUGUUAGUAAUACAUUCUUUCACAACAGGUGUCCUAUCAACAGGUGCAGAAGAACAAGCCCAUAAGUGGAAUUAUGUUGUGAAACACACAUUGCAUGUUUCAACAAGAACUGUCAGUAUUUAGCAGCUUGGCUUAAAAGACAAAUUGAACAGUAAAAUACAAUCUUGCCACAACUAAUUCAAGAAGAAAUAUUUCUGGAGCGGUUCUGAUGUUUAUAUACUCAAAUCUCUUGUCCUCACUAAGAAAACAUGUAAUGAUCAAAAUGAUCAUUGUAUUCUUGUAUUCAUCUGAUGCACUGGUAGUUUAAUUCCAUGAGGUAAGAACCAGCUUUGCUGGUAGUUUCUGUAAUCAACUAUACAAAUAAACAUGGAUACUCAGUGAAAUGAUUUUAUUUUUUUUUAUUUCAGGAUUGGAAAGCAGAGACUUCCAAUUUGCUGAAUUUUCCUGGCUAGCGCAGCUGGAACUGUUUUGAAUUUCAGCUUAACAUCUGGAACGUCAAAGAUAUCUUGAUCCCUGUUAUACAUCUCAUAAGGUAUUGAAGAAAACUCACAUAAGCACAAUGAUGUCAAAUUUGAAAUAUGCAGAUCCACAGCAGAAAGAAAUAUAAACAGUCUCUAAGAGUUCACAAAUUUUAGCUAAGGAUGAAUCACUUGGAUAUAAAAGUACUGUCUAAAUAGCUCAGCAAAUUGAUUUUCUGAAAUUAUAUCGUUAUAAUGCAUUUGAGCAUUAUAUAUUUUAAUAAGAUCAAUUUUCUAUAUAAUACCCAGUUCCAUUUUAUAUUUAUAUUUCACUGUGAAUUUCAAUUACCUUUCAUACUGUAUAUUUUAAAACUAUUUUUACUUCAAACAUUAAGGAACAGCUAAACUCUGAAAUGUGAAAUUACUAUGUGACAUCUGGCCCAGGAAAUUUAUUAUUCAAAACCUACUUCAUGCAAAUAAUUAUAUAUUUAAUCCAGUACUGUCAAGCCAUUAUACAUCUGGCAAUCUAUAUUUUAAGAUCUCAAAUAUUUUCAACUGACCUGAUAUCAAAACCACUACUGAACUCCAACUCCUAGGGUAAUCUUAAACAAAUCAUUUUUUCUUCAGCUUCAAUGUCACCUUUCUCUUUUUCUCUAACAAUUACCUUUAUUCCACAAUCUUCCUAAAUAGUACUGAAAAAAUAUUUUGAGGAAAAAUGUGAACUUUUGAAAGAAGAAUAUUUUUCCAUCUACUACUUACACUAAAAUAUCAAUAACUUCAUGGACAAAUGAAGACAAUUGUUGCUUUCUUUUUAAAAAAAUAAAUUUCUAAAUAUUUAUUUUCACAUUAUUUUAAUGCAGACCACUAAUUUCUGUUUCCUUCUCAGAUAUCCCAAGGUUGGACUGAGAUUGGCCUAUGUUACAACUAAUGAAAAAGAAAUAUUUGAAAAUAGUCAUUGCCUGUUAUCUAUACUUGUCCAAAGCAUGCUGGGAUCACAAUCUAAUUUCGUUGCAAUUGAGAAGAACAGACCAUGAAAGAUCCAAAAGGAUGAUCAAAACAUCAAGCAAACCUUAGUUGCUAUUAUCAUUUAACAUUUUAAAGCCACAAAAAUUGGGACAUUAAAAAUGGAAGAGCCAGAUUAAUAUUCUACUUAAAACAAUUUUGAGUUUCAUUCAAAAUUGGCCUAAUAAGCCAAACACUGUUAUCUAUGAAAAGAUAAUAAUGUAAAAUUAUACAGUUAUACAAAUGAUAGUUGAAUAUAGUAAUCAAAAUUCAUUUGAUUUAUAUUUAUGUUAUUUUUUCUAAAAUAUUUUUCUAAUAUUGACUGCAAUACCAGCUGCCCAUUGCUUAUAACAUAACCUUUAAUCAUGAAAGGAAAAAGUAUUGAACUCCCUCAAAAAGCCAUUUUUUUCCAAAGGAAAAAUUAGUUAAAUGAGCUACCAAAUCAAUAAAAUUGCUCAAUACUUGAGCAAUUCCUGUAAAGAAAGGGAAAUAUCUUUAUGAGCAAGUCUCUAGUUUCAAGAAAAUUACAUCUCAUUCAAGUUUCGAUUCAACUUGUUCAGUUUUCACCUGUUUUACUUAACAUACUCUAAUAACAGGUGGAAUAAAACCACACAGAACAAAGAAGAUAUGACUAAUAUUAAAGUAAUAUACAUCCUACAAGUUUCAUCAAGCAGCAACAGGCUUUGUUAAGUAGAUGAGGAAAACUUUUAAUUCUUAAACUUUGCCAACAUGAAAUAUAACAUGUUUCUGUUUCUUCUUCUUUUAAAGAACAAAGAAAAGCACCUAGGUGAAUUUUCUUUCUACUAAUAGGAAAAUUAGUUUCACUAAUACUACAAUUUCACAUAAUCACAGAAGGUUUCUGCAGUUGAAGGAUGGAGCAGAUCUGUUAAAAUUUCGAAGGAUAUUCUGAAAGGAGACCAAGAGAAGACGUAAAGAAAUCAAAUUGUCAAAUUAUCUUAUUUGGACACAUUAUGCAAGACCAAGCUCUCUAGAGAUGGCUCUAAUGCUGGGAAGAUGACCAGAAAAAAUGGUCUCAGUUACAGUGCACAAGAAACUUACUUUGAGACCAGGACUGCAGCUGCAUCACGAGACUUAUCACUUACAACAAGGUAUGACUAAAAGUAAGAAGAGAUUUGAAUUGCAAUU
This is a long non-coding RNA of Ahaetulla prasina, 9399 nucleotides long. RefSeq lists it as uncharacterized. The record is from RefSeq and is a predicted model, not a curated record. The transcript has 4 exons. NCBI's taxonomy places the organism in Eukaryota, Metazoa, Chordata, Lepidosauria, Squamata, Colubridae.